Molecule: ribosomal RNA, 274 nt
Filed under: uncultured bacterium
Lineage: Bacteria
Description: partial 16S ribosomal RNA
Rfam family: Bacterial small subunit ribosomal RNA
Source: RNAcentral
AUACAGAGGGUGCGAGCGUUAAUCGGAAUUACUGGGCGUAAAGCGCGCGUAGGCGGCUUAUUAAGUCAGAUGUGAAAUCCCCGGGCUCAACCUGGGAACUGCAUCUGAUACUGGUAAGCUAGAGUUUUGGAGAGGGAAGUAGAAUUUCAGGUGUAGCGGUGAAGUGCAUAGAGAUCUGAAGGAAUACCAGUGGCGAAGGCGACUUCCUGGCCUAAAACUGACGCUGAGGUGCGAAAGCGUGGGUAGCAAACGGGAUUAGAAACCCGAGUAGUCC